CCCCAUGUCAGGCGGGACUACCCGCUGAAU
This 30-nucleotide ribosomal RNA is filed under the name Campanula secundiflora. Its description in RNAcentral is "partial 28S ribosomal RNA". Lineage: Eukaryota; Viridiplantae; Streptophyta; Magnoliopsida; Asterales; Campanulaceae. The record is from RNAcentral.